Molecule: ribosomal RNA, 449 nt
Filed under: uncultured bacterium
Lineage: Bacteria
Description: partial 16S ribosomal RNA
Rfam family: Bacterial small subunit ribosomal RNA
Source: RNAcentral
GUGGGGAAUCUUCCGCAAUGGACGAAAGUCUGACGGAGCGACGCCGCGUGAGUGAUGAAGGCCUUCGGGUCGUAAAGCUCUGUCAUCGGGGACGAACGGCCUCAGCAGGUAAUGGCUGGGGAUUGACGGUACCCGAGAAGGAAGCCACGGCUAACUACGUGCCAGCAGCCGCGGUAAUACGUAGGUGGCAAGCGUUGUCCGGAAUUAUUUGGCGUAAAGCGCGCGCAGGUGGGAUCUUAAGUCCAUUUUGAAAGUUCGGAGCUCAACUCCGUGAUGGGAUGGAAACUGGGAUUCUUGAGUACCGGAGAGGAAAGCGGAAUUCCCCGUGUAGCGGUGAAAUGCGUAGAUAUGGGGAGGAACACCAGUGGCGAAGGCGGCUUUCUGGACUGUAACUGACACUGAGGCUCGAAAGCCAGGGGAGCGAACGGGAUUAGAAACCCCUGUAGUCC